AUAAGGGCGCACGGUGGAUGCCUUGGCACUAGGAGCCGAUGAAGGACGGGACUAACACCGAUAUGCUUUGGGGAGCUGUACGUAAGCUAUGAUCCAGAGAUUUCCGAAUGGGGGAACCCAACAUCUUUAAUAGGAUGUUACGAUUGUGUGAAUACAUAGCACAUUCGAGGUAGACGCAGAGAACUGAAACAUCUAAGUACCUGCAGGAAGAGAAAGAAAAUUCGAUUCCCUGAGUAGCGGCGAGCGAAACGGGAAAAGCCCAAACCAGCAAGCUUGCUUGUUGGGGUUGUAGGACUCCAAUAUGGUAGUUCUUUCAGAUAGUCGAAUGACUUGGAAAAGUCAGUCAAAGAGGGUAAAAACCCCGUAGACGAAAUGUGGAAGACACCUAGGAGGAUCCUGAGUACGGCGGAACACGAGAAAUUCCGUCGGAAUCCGGGAGGACCAUCUCCCAAGGCUAAAUACUCCCUAGUGACCGAUAGUGAACCAGUACCGUGAGGGAAAGGUGAAAAGCACCCCGGAAGGGGAGUGAAAUAGAACCUGAAACCGUGUGCCUACAACAAGUCAAAGCCCGUUAAUGGGUGAUGGCGUGCCUUUUGUAGAAUGAACCGGCGAGUUACGAUUGCAUGCGAGGUUAAGUUGAAGAGACGGAGCCGCAGCGAAAGCGAGUCUGAAUAGGGCGUUUGAGUAUGUAGUCGUAGACCCGAAACCAUGUGAUCUACCCAUGUCCAGGUUGAAGGUGCGGUAAAACGCACUGGAGGACCGAACCCACGUACGUUGAAAAGUGCGGGGAUGAGGUGUGGGUAGCGGAGAAAUUCCAAACGAACUUGGAGAUAGCUGGUUCUCUCCGAAAUAGCUUUAGGGCUAGCCUCGGAAUUGAGAAUGAUGGAGGUAGAGCACUGUUUGGACUAGGGGCCCAUCUCGGGUUA
Molecule: ribosomal RNA, 926 nt
Filed under: Enterococcus faecium
Lineage: Bacteria; Bacillati; Bacillota; Bacilli; Lactobacillales; Enterococcaceae
Description: partial 23S ribosomal RNA
Rfam family: Bacterial large subunit ribosomal RNA
Source: RNAcentral